UCCGCCCGGGUACUACGAGCACAGCUUAAAACCCAAAGGACUUGGCGGUGCCCUAUACCACCUAGAGGAGCCUGUUCUUUAAUCGAUAAUCCACGAUCCACCUCACCAUUUCUUGCCUAAACAGCUUAUAUACCGCCGUCGUCAAUUUUCCCUCUGAAGGAUAAAAAGAAAGUCAGAAGGCCCCACCAAAACGUCAGGUCAAGGUGUAGCGAAUGAAAUGGGAAGAAAUGGGCUACAUUUUCUAAAAUAGACCAUACGAAUUAUCAAUAUGAAAUCUGAUUAUGAAGGAGGAUUUAGCAGUAAAAAGAAAUCAGCAAGUUCUUUUUAACAUGGCCCUGGGACGCGCACACACCGCCCGUCACCCUCUUCGACUCUUUUGACUUCUUACUUAAUCAUUAAUCUUGAACCUAGAAGAGGCAAGUCGUAACAUGGUAAGUAUACCGGAAGGUGUACUUGGA
RNAcentral lists this ribosomal RNA (458 nucleotides) under Leptobrachium nigrops (black-eyed litter frog). RNAcentral describes it as "partial 12S rRNA". It matches the Rfam family "Bacterial small subunit ribosomal RNA", at positions 868 to 1522 of the family's 1533-position model. Lineage: Eukaryota; Metazoa; Chordata; Amphibia; Anura; Megophryidae. The record is from RNAcentral.